CUAAAACAUCACAUGGCCGGCCAUCCCCUUAAGCUUUCAACCUUCCCUAUCUUUUCCCACUUUACUACCCCAAUUAAGCUAGCUAAUUGAUUCUAUAACCAUCCAUUUAUUCCCUUUAUGUUUAAUUAGCAAAUUUAUCAUAAUAAAUUGGCUAAUUAAACCUAAAUUAAACCUAAAAAUCCUAGCCACCUCCUAUCCCUAUAAAUAUACUCCCAUUCUCACCAAAAAGCUAAUUCCAACACUUUGGCAAAAAUCCCAAAAUUCUCUAAACACUCUUUCUCUCUAAAUUUUAACUUUGGCAUCGGAGGUUCUUCGGCCAAAGCCCCCCCCAUUCAUUGUGGGGCGCGUGAGGCUCUUGGCCUUAACCUAAGGUGUUAAUUGUUUUUGUAGGUGCAAAAUCGUCCAAGAUCGAGGAGGAAGAAAUUUGCAUCCACAAAUUGGUGCUUUCAUUGAGAGUUGAAAUCCAUACUCGUAGAAGACUCUCGCACAAAAAGGUUUUUUCUUUAUUUUUUAGUCCAUUUGAAUAUUUUUCAUACGUUCUUAUUAUUAGAAUUUUUUACUUGCAAAGGUUCUUUAAUAAAACGUAUAAGCAAAAUAUAAUGGCUAGAAAUUUAGAAAAUUCCACAAAUGAAAAUUCUAAUAUACAAGAAAUGGGAUUGCGGAGAUCCAUGAGGCAAAAUGCGACAAUAAGGGGAGCGGCAUCACCACCACGAGUUUCCACCAUGGGAACCACCGCGGUGGCUACCUCGGUAGCCACCCACGGCGAGGUCCAUGGUGCCUUCACCACGACCACCAUGGGAACCACCGCGGUGGCUACUUCGGUAGCCAUUCGUGGCGAGGUCCAUGGAGCUUUCACCACGGCCCGAGCCCUGCCAUCCAAGGCUCACGGUACCAAGACCACGACCCAAGCCGUGCCAUCCAAGUUUACGUGGACCCAAGCCCAAGCCUCGCAUUCACAUGCACCGCGCAUUGAGCAGCCUGCUUUCGUUGAGCAGCCCACUCCCGUGGCCCAGCCUGCUCUCGUGACCCAGCCUGCUCCCGACGAGUAGCCCACUCCCGUGGUCCAGCCUGCUCCCGACGAGCAGCCCACUCUCGUGGUCCAGCCUGCUUCCGUCGAGCAGCCCAAUCCCGUGGCCCAGCCUACUUCCGCCAAGCAACUUGCUCUCGCGGCCCAGCCUGCUCCUGCCAAGCAGCUUGCUCUCGUGACCCAGCCUGCUCCCGACGAGCAGCCCACUCCCGUGGUCCAGCCUGCUUCCAUCAAGCAGCCCACUCCCGUGGCCCAGCCUGCUCCUGCCAAGCAGCCUGUUCUCGUGACCCAACCUGCUCCCGACGAGCAGCCCACUCUCGUGGUCCAGCCUGCUUCCGUCAAGCAGCCGACUCCCGUGGCCCAACCUGCUUCCGUCGAGCAGCCUAUUCCCGUGGCCCAGCCUGCUCCUGCCAAGCAGCCUGCUUUCAUGACCCAGCCUGGUCCCGACGAGCAGCCCACUCUCACUGUCUAUCCUGCUCCAGUGGCUUUCCAAGCAGCCCAAGUCGGCCCAAGACUAUCUCAACCAUCCGGACCUACCAUCGAACCGGGGGCAUUCUCACCACAUUUUUUCGCGGAUUUGACAUUUCCCAACUCAAAUCUCGCGCCCGAAGUCUACCACCCUUUCACUGCCCAAGGAAGCGCAUUCCUUCCAAGCUCUUCCAAUCCAAAUGGCGAACAACACUUGUCUCGACAAGUCAUAGAGUUGACGAGCGCCCUUGCACAACAGACAACCUUGGUGAAUCAACUUUUGCAACACAUUGGGAUCCAACGUGCCCCGGACGAGGUAUCCCGAAGUAGGACAAGGGCAGACGGACAUUUCCAGCAGUGUCCCGGCAAGCAGCCACGAGCCGAACGUUUGGGCAGUGUACAUUCCCGUCUUAGAGCGCGAAGGAGCAUGCACUCUCGACUAGGCCCACAGAUGAGCAUACAUUCACGGUUGGGGUUAUACUCCGAUAGUCAACAUGAACAACCUUCCAGGCAAAGUGUCUAUUCGCAGCUAAGCCCACAAGGAGCGUCAUCCACCUCACAUCAGAGUAGGCAGCACGACGGACGGAGAGAAGCAGUCACUCAAUCCAGCUCAAGUUCAACCAGCAACAUGCGAAGAACUCGCUCGCCUACUAGGAACGCAUCACAUGCACUGCAUCUGCGGCAUAGACGAGCCAAACACCUGGAAGAGCAGCCUAGACCAGCAAGUCAUGACUGGGGGCAGCCGAGAGCUCCGCUACCCCAACAAAUGCAAAUUCAGGAAGAAGUAGAGAGACUCUUGACUAAGCGAUUGCAUGAUUUCCAACGCAACGAGGUCACCGACGAGGCACUAUGACGGAACAUAACCAACAUAAGCAGGUCACCCUUCACGGAGGAGAUUGAGUAGGCAGAGCCUCCACGCGAGUUCAGCAUGCCACAUUUCACAUCUUUCAAAGGGGAUGAAGACCCGAAGAGACACUUAAAACGUUACCAAAGUGCAAUGAUCCUUUAUCGAAACAACGAUGAUCUCAUGUGCAAGAUAUUCGCCACCACUCUACAAGGCGAGGCGCAAGAUUGGUUCUACACCCUGCCGCCACAAUCCAUCCGGAAUUUCUACGAACUUUCUUUGGUUUUCACCAAAGAAUAUUCAUCCUAUAGCUCGAUCAAAAAGAAGUCUGACCAUUUGUUCGACGUCAAGAAGAACCUAAAGGAGUCGCUUCGCGACUAUGUGAGGAGGUUCAAAGUAGAGAAGGCAAAAAUAGUCGGAUGCAACGACUCGAUAGUUAGAGCAGCCUUCCAAAAAGGACUUCCAGCAGACCACCCGCUAUUCGGAAAAUUGAUCAUGAAAGAAUAUCUAACUCUGGCAUACUCUUUUGCUUUAGCAGAGAAGCAUGCACUUUGGGAUGAGGCUCGCCAAUGCACAUUCAAGGACUUGAAGAAGUACCCGACAUCACCUCCCUAGAAGCAGCGGAUGACUUAUUCGCAUGUUUGACGGUAUCUAAAGUAGCAAUAAGCUCUACCAUCAUGCGAGAAGAGCUGGGGGCCCGACUACCUGUAUUCUACAGUUUACUUGCAGUCAUCAUCAUGACGCACUAUUCCGCCGAAUCCAAACCGGCGACGAUAAAGGCGUAGACCCUGGCAGAUGCAAAGUUUUCUGACGAACGCAACAACUCGGCCCAACGAUGCCCCGAAGGCAGUCGAGCACACUUUAGCUGCACAUAUUCCCUUAAUGGAGAUUUCUGGCAUUCGCAUGUCAACGACGCAUCCAACUACAAAGGCUUGCGAGCAGCCGUGGUUCGUGGCAACCGACUACUUCACCAAAUAGGUGGAAGCAGAGCCCAUGGCGACCACGAUUCAGACGGACAUAGAGCGCUUCAUAUGGAGGAACAUCAUUUACCGAUUUGGCAUCCCUUAAUCCAUCGGCACCAACAACGGCCUGCAAUUCGUGGGCAAAGAUUUGGCGAAGUUCUUUAAAAAAUAUGGCAUCAAGCAGCAUAUGUCCAUGCCGAGAUAUCCUCAAGGCAAUAGACAGGCCGAAACAUCCAAAAAGAUGGAUCUCAUCUGGGAAGGUCCGUACAAGCUCAGCAGAAUAGGCGGUAAGAGUAAUUAUACCCCCGCUACCAUGAAACGAUAAAAAGAUCGAAAAGUAGUGGAGCGCCUACAAUCUGAAGAAGUACCAUGUGUGACCUCCGACUACAUCAAAGCCCGAAGACUUAAGAAGCUCGACGGGCACCACCUCACAAGUCGAGGACUAUCCAGUUGUUAUGCAGUUCCUACCUUACAGCUAAGUUCUUGUUCGUUUCACUCGUUUUUCAAUGAGGAAUUCAGAAGUAAUCACAACUUGGCUCGGCUGCAUGCUUACAACAAGUGAUCACUCCAGCACUUCAAAAGAAGACUGUGCCCUUCUUAGGGACCCAUCGCAGGAAUUGCACCCCCCGAGGGACCAACCAUGCUCUCCAGUGCGAGAGGGUAAACUAAUUGCUCUCCAGUGCGAAAGGGUAAACCAAUUCCCCGACACCCAUAUGGGUCAGCUCUCCAAGACGGGAGGAUAAACUUUACACUUCGAAUAUCCAGACGUGGAUGAGCCUGGCUGUCUUAGUAUAACUAGAUGCACGAUGGCUUGCGCCGGGAUUCCUAGAAGUAGCCGCAAUGGUCUUUUUCAAGGCUUAGCUAACUGAAGGAUUUUGGGUCUCUUGGCCUAAUCCGUGGGGAACCGGGCCCUAGAGACGGAGAUGGCACAUUACGCAGUACAUCCGAUGGACGGCUGCCCUGGAAUCCUAAAGCUGCUACCGAGUGCACUAAGAUAGCCUACGGAUUCCGGAAGAUUGCCUACGGCUUGCCCUUCGAGCAGUAAAGCCGCGCUAGACUUAUACAACCGCACAUUCUUGUGAAAGGUUAAACACGCUAGCGCGCAUAUACGAAGUUUUAUCCACUGCCGACAUGCUACGUAGUCGAUAAGCUUCAUCUCUGCCAAGCGCGGAACAACCUACACCAAGUCCUAAAGUGUUGUGAUACUUGCUACGCAACCUACGGAAUUGAAGAAAGUCAAGGUUAACAGCCUAGUGGUUACGCGAACUUGUCUUCUUCUGUAAGUAAGGCAUCCGGUUGCCAACCCUAUGGCUAACAACUUUGCAAAGUUCUACACCAACACCUACGGCUGCAUAGGCUACGCGAGCUUGUCUGCUUAUAAAAAAGUAACAUGCCUGCCACUGGUCUAUCAAGUCUAAAGGUUAGGGCAUGAACAAAAGAAGUGAAGAUGAAGAAAAACGAAGGAAAACAUGUUUAUAAACAACUAGCAAAGGCCGAAGGAGUUCAAGCAAAACAAGAGCUACAAGGAAAAACAAAGAAAAUCCUAAAGGCUACCUAAAAUACUACACUACAGCAGCUUGGACAUCCCACGACUACUCGGUCGCCACACCUUCAACAGCCGUAACACUCUUAGCAACGGCAUCAUCCGGCGCUUCACCCCCGGCUGCCCCAGUCUGGGCACUAACUUCUCCAACUACUUCACCAAUGGAAGCCUUAAAAGUAAGCAAGCAAGUCUUUCGGAGAAAUAGAGAAGGUCUUAAAACCUCAAGCCCAUCAUUCUCACCCUUCAGCUGCUCAUUCUUCUUAAGCAGACUAACACAGACGCGCUGCAGCUCAUCCACUCCCUUCUUAGCAUAAGCAGCGAAACGAAGCUCAGAAAUUGCAAGCUUAAGAUCUUGAAUAUGAGGCGAAUCAAUCUCAGCAGCAAAGGAAGCAGGCUUUGGCGCCACUUUAGCAGCAGAGUCCACCUUACCACUCUUCAUAAUAGCAAGUCUCUACAAAGGUGAACCGGACUUGGCUCCCAAAGAACGUCCUGGUACAGACUUCGGCACUGGGGGCAUGAUAAAACCUUUACGUUGAGCAAUCUUAUCCACAAUUGUACUAGCCAUUCUCAACAUGGAAGACGCCACAUGCUCAGAUCUAGCAGCCUUAUUUUUCUUCCCAUUAGAAGAAGUCAUGUCAAUCACAUACCUCUCGGUAGCAAGCGGACCCUUAUGAGCAGCAGAAGAAGUCUUCAGUUUUUUCUUAACUAGGCAUCUCAUGAGCAGGCGGGGAAGAUCUCUUCUUUCCAUCUUCAUUCAUAGUAAGCUCCACGACAGCGAUCAGACGAGCCAAUGCAUCCGCCUUGAUCCUCUUUACCUCAUCUUUCUGGAGCAGCCCACAUUUCUUUCAGCAAAGAAGACUAAGCAGCCAACGAAAUUCAUGGUACUCAGCAGGGGAGCUCAACCCAGCAUUCCAGCAGGCAGAAGGCCUGCAUGCCCAACAUUCUAGCAGCCCAUGAGACCCGCAAUCUCCUUAUUUCUCUCAAUCGCCAGCCUGGCCCGAGUCAGGUCCAAGAGCCCAAAGGACAUGAGCCAUGCGGCUCGCCUAACACUGUGCCUUAGCGCCACAAUCCUCGACCCCAGCUGCACAAGCUGCCCUUGGCUCAAGCCAAGCCAAGCUGCCCAAGCAGUGGUCCCUGCCACGACAUCUCCUCAGCUCAUGCCGAGCCAGCUCCUGGCCCCUGCUAGCCGACGUGCCGCACCACCCCGACGGCUACCCCGCAAUAGCACUAUCCAAGAAUAAAGCAAGAAAAAUUAAAUUUUUCUUACAUUGGUGCGGCACGAAGAAGACGAAGAAAGCAACGAAAGACGGUCAUUUGCACGGGCAAGAUGUAGAAGAUUGCUAGAGGAGGGGGAACAAAUAUCCUCUAAGCUAUCUCUCUCUUGUAGGGUAGAAUAAAUCGCUCUCCAAAGUUGAUUUAAUAACCCACUUAAGGUGGACUUAAAUAGGCUUUGAGAGAAAUUUAUUUCCCUUUCCUAGAAGGAUCUAAUUUCCUAUUAAAGAGAGAAUCUACAUCAAAAUAGGAAGCAGUCCUAAGUUUCCUAAAGCAAGAAAAUCUCUACACCUGCCGCCCUUUUCUGCGAGUAGCCCAACAGGUGUGGGGGCAUUUGUGGAGCCAAAAAUAUUCACAAGGCGACACAUGGGUUUUUUGGACAAAAAGGAAAAAAAUACCCUUGCAGUACAACGAGGUUCCUACGUGCAAGCAGCGGGCAACCCUCUUUCAACCAAGACAGAAGUGCUCAAAAUAGGUAACAAUUCAAAGUCCAUCUCAUCAAAUCCUUUCUACAAGGUAAUUCCCAAACACAUUCCUUUUAAAUUAUGUUAAUUGGCUAAUUAAUGGGUUUAUUGCCUAAUUAACCCAUUAAUUCUCAAUUAAACCAUCCAUUAUAUCCAAAUAACCACAAAAUACAACCAAUUCAACCCUAAAACAUCACAUGGCCGGCCAUCCCCUUAAGCUUUCUACCUUCCCUAUCUUUUCCCACUUUACUACCCCAAUUAAGCUAGCUAAUUGAUUCUAUAACCAUCCAUUUAUUCCCUUUAUGUUUAAUUAGCAAAUUUAUCAUAAUAAAUUGGCUAAUUAAACCUAAAUUAAACCUAAAAACCCUAGCCACCUCCUAUCCCUAUAAAUAUACUCCCAUUCUCACCAAAAAGCUAAUUCCAACACUUUGGCAAAAAUCCCAAAAUUCUCUAAACACUCUUUCUCUCUAAAUUCUAACUUUGGCAUCAGAGGUUCUUCGGCCAAAGCCCCCCCCCCCAUUCAUUGUGGGCGCGUGAGGCUCUUGGCCUUAACCUAAGGUGUUAAUUGUUUUGUAGGUGCAAAAUCGUCCAAGAUUGAGGAGGAAGAAAUUUGCAUCCACAUUAUGGUUUAGUGAUAUUUUUCUUUACUUAUAAGUGAGAGAUCUUAAGUUGAAUUUUCAGCAAAGACGAAUUUGAACCAAAUUAUUGUUAGCCCAUUGUGAAGUUAAGUUCACUCCCUCCUCCUUAGUGUAGAUCGUUUGUUCAAAAAAAAAAAUAUCAACAACGUGGGUAAUAAAUAUGAGCAAAGUGGGGUAAUUAAAAGUAUACAAAUGGUGGGGUAAAUAAAUAUCCCCAAAAUGGAUAAUAAAUGUGGGGAAAUUUGGAAAAAUAACCAAAUUUUAAAUCUCAUAUAGAAUUAUAACCACUAUUUUAAUUUUAUGAUAAUUAUAACCAAAACUUGAUAUAAAAGUAUUAAUAUACCCUUAAUACUAAGGUUUCUCAUAACAACCACAAACACAACCUUUAAACUACCUUAAAAUGUUGAGGAUUACUGCAGAUUGAGGCCACCGAAUUAACUUUCUCUUUAAUUAGCAAGACAACCUAUGAGAAUGUUCUUCAGAAGGUACUAAUUCCAUAGCUAAUUAUUAUUUUUGUAAUUAGGUACUUCGAUUUAGUGUUUCACUAAUUAAAUUGCAUACAUUCCAAUAUAUUUUUCCAGUGGAUGAAGAAAGAAUAUGAAAUUGCAUAUGCAAAGUGAAUAGUGAAAACAAAAAAGUGAUGAAGAUUAAUUUCUCAUUUUAGGAUAGUUUAAAGGUUUGUUUUGGUUGUUGUGAGAAACCCUAAUAUUAAGGGUAUAUUAGUACUUUUACAUCAAGUUUUUGUUAUAAUUAUCAUAAAAUUAAUAUGGUGGCUAUAAUUCUAUAUGGGGUCUAAAAUUUGGUUAUUUUUCCAAAUUUCCCAUAAAUGUGAGCAAAGUGGGGUAAUUAAAAGUAUAGAAAAACAAAAGUAAAUAGAAAAGAAGAUGGUGGGAUAAAUAAAUAUCAGCAAAGUGGGUAAUAAAUGUGAGCAAAGUGGGUAAUUAAAAUUAUAGAAAAACGAAAAGUAAACAAAAAUGAAGAUUGUGAUGUAAAUAAAUAUCCUCAAAGUGGGUAAUAGAUGUGGGCAAAGUGGGGUAAUUAAAAGUAUAGAAAAACUAAAAAAGAAAAAGAAGGAAAGAUGGUAGGGUAAAUAAAUAUCAGUAAAGUGUGUUAAUAAAUGUCAACAAAGAGGGGUAAUAAAAAUAUACAAAAAAAAAAAAACCUAGUCGUCUUCAUCUUCUUUGUUGGGCAAGCUCUGCAACUCAAAAAAUUCCAAAUUUCUGUAACUUAAAAAAAAGAAAAGGAUGCCCAGUCAAACGUUUGAGAUGCGUCCCGACCUAGGUGAGCAUUUCGCUGACUCUCACAACACAGAGAUGAAAAUGUUGUCGCCUUGCCUCCAAGGGCACCUAAGCGCGCCCCAAGGCGAGUUUUUUGAAACACUGUAAAAUUAAAAACAAAUUUUCUUUAAAGAGGAAAAGAGACAUACUUUGGGAAGCGGAUCCUUUUCUUUUAUUUUUCCUCUUCUUUUAGGCUCCUUCUGUGGAGGAUGAUAUUCAAAGCAAGCACCAAUGGCAAUACUUGUCCUUCCUCUAUCAUGCACAAAAAAAUGGAAAAACAAAUCAAAAUAUGGGAUGACGUAGUAGUUAUAUUACUUAAGCAAAAGUUACAGAAGUUAAAAAGCUUGUUAGAAAUCAAGCAAAUGGAUGCCAGCCAAGACAUCUUCUCACCACUAAUCACAUACUAAGCAAACCCAAAUCACAUAACCCAGAAGCAAAAACAAAAGGUACGUCGAGCGAAAGCGGCAGAUAUGAGAUCGAUAAAGCAAGGCAAAAAUAUGAAAAAUACAGAAACCCAAGCAAUCACAAUACUGGUUAGGCAUUAGCCUACGUCCAGUUCGGAGACGGAGGAGAAAUUCCUGUAAGGUCCCAAAUCCCAAACAAACCAGAACCCAGGUUCCAAAUCAACUCUCACACAGAUGAUCCAAGAACAAUGCUUAGAUUCUUGCUCGCAGAUAAAUACAGAAAAGAGAUCAAAGGGCAGCUAUUACAUAGAGAUUAAUACCAUCAAAUAAAAGGGACCAAAAAGCAGAACCAACCCAAAAGUGCAGCUGCUGCGCAACGAACCAAACUUUGGGUGAUGUGGCCAAUUAACAUCCGUUGAGCACUUUCUGUCAAAUAGUUCUUGAGCCCAAAAUACCAGAUAACCAGUAUCAACUUUCUGUGAA
RNAcentral lists this long non-coding RNA (9382 nucleotides) under Malus domestica (apple). RNAcentral describes it as "long non-coding RNA (MDOM_LNC011614)". Lineage: Eukaryota; Viridiplantae; Streptophyta; Magnoliopsida; Rosales; Rosaceae. The record is from RNAcentral.